GGAGUCUGGGCCGUGUCUCAGUCCCAAUGUGGCCGUUCAACCUCUCAGUCCGGCUACCGAUCGCGGUCUUGGUGAGCCGUUACCUCACCAACUAACUAAUCGGACGCGAGUCCAUCUCUGAGCGAUAAAAUCUUUGACAUAUCUUCCAUGCGAAAAAUAUGUGUUAUGCGGUAUUAGCGUUCUUUUCAGAACGUUAUUCCCCUCUCAGAGGCAGGUUACUCACGCGUUACUCACCCGUCCGCCACUAAACUGAAAAUCUUUCAUCCGAAGAAUCAAUCAAAACAGUUCCGUUCGACUUGCAUGUGUUAGGCACGCCGCCAGCGUCGUCCUCGAGCCAUGAUCAAACUCU
Molecule: ribosomal RNA, 349 nt
Filed under: uncultured Ruminococcus sp.
Lineage: Bacteria; Bacillati; Bacillota; Clostridia; Eubacteriales; Oscillospiraceae
Description: partial 16S ribosomal RNA
Source: RNAcentral